This 253-nucleotide ribosomal RNA is filed under the name uncultured bacterium. Its description in RNAcentral is "partial 16S ribosomal RNA". It matches the Rfam family "Bacterial small subunit ribosomal RNA", at positions 524 to 776 of the family's 1533-position model. The record is from RNAcentral.
UACAGAGGGGGCAAGCGUUGUUCGGAAUUACUGGGCGUAAAGGGCGCGUAGGCGGCCUGCUAAGUCGAACGUGAAAUCCCCGGGCUCAACCCGGGAACUGCGUCCGAUACUGGUGGGCUUGGAUCCGGGAGAGGGAUGUGGAAUUCCAGGUGUAGCGGUGAAAUGCGUAGAUAUCGGGAGGAACACCAGUGGCGAAGGCGGAGACCUGGGCCGAUACUGACGCUGAGGUGCGAAAGCGUGGGGAGCAAACAGG